UACGUAGGGUGCAAGCGUUAAUCGGAAUUACUGGGCGUAAAGCGUGCGCAGGCGGUUGUGCAAGACAGAUGUGAAAUCCCCGGGCUCAACCUGGGAACUGCAUUUGUGACUGCACGGCUGGAGUGCGGCAGAGGGGGAUGGAAUUCCGCGUGCAGCAGUGAAAUGCGUAGAUAUGCGGAGGAACACCGAUGGCGAAGGCAAUCCCCUGGGCCUGCACUGACGCUCAUGCACGAAAGCGUGGGGAGCAAACAGG
This 253-nucleotide ribosomal RNA is filed under the name uncultured bacterium. Its description in RNAcentral is "partial 16S ribosomal RNA". It matches the Rfam family "Bacterial small subunit ribosomal RNA", at positions 524 to 776 of the family's 1533-position model. The record is from RNAcentral.